This is a long non-coding RNA of Marmota flaviventris (yellow-bellied marmot), 2073 nucleotides long. RefSeq lists it as uncharacterized. The record is from RefSeq and is a predicted model, not a curated record. Lineage: Eukaryota; Metazoa; Chordata; Mammalia; Rodentia; Sciuridae.
CAGGAAGUGGGGGAGACAAUCUAGACCAUGCUGUGAACCUUAACUAGCUGUUGGCAGAAAAAUGAAGACCAAAACUCAGCCCAGAAGAAAAUGGAAUUAUGGGGAAAACAACAUGUGGAAAAUGAGUUGCUAUGGAAUGGGAAGAGAAUGUGCUCAUGGACACCUCCCACUCAGUGUCUGGAGCACAGUCCACACUCAGUAGUGAGCACUCAGUAUAAGAGGAAAGAGGUCCCUUCUCACCGAUUUUCUCUGGACUCUCAGAAAUGAUACAGAGCUUAAGAAUGGGCCUUGCUCUUUUGUUUACCAGAUGAAACACUAAAGACUCAAAUUGUAAUUGGUGAGUAGUAGAUAAUGUGGUUGUCUGAGUGCCAAAUUGCCAUCCCAACUCAACCUCCUCCCUGUGUCAGAGACCUGAGUCUUAAAGAUAUAUUGUGUUGAUAAAACAGUCUAUGCUGCCCCUGGAUGGGAUGCCUGGAACCAUGGGCCCUAUUUUGAGAACAAAAGCCACUAAGGUUUGCGGAGAAAAAGAAGGGAAAAGACAUGGAUACUUAACAUGUUACUGAGCAACUGAAUUACCCGACCCCAGAACUGCCUUCUCCCUGGCCUUGCUGUUAAGUGAAUCACUGAAGGUUGAUUUAGCCGUUACUUGAAGCUGAGAGCAUCCUAAGUGACAUGGUUAUAUAGAAAGUGGCUGAGCUGAAGUCAAGCCAAGACCAGUUCUAAGGGAAAAAACUAGUGGAAGCUAAGAGUGAGGAGAAGCCAACCGAUAAUUGGGCGGUUAUUUGAAUGGGACCUUCAGGUUUCUGGACAGUUUUCAACUAUUAAAAGGUUCCAAGUGCUGAGCUGCUUUCUCCUGCCACACCCAGUGCGUCUGCCAAAAUGUUCUGCCUCACCUGAGGCCCAGAGCAACGGAGUUGAUCAUCUAUGGACUAAGACCUCCCAAACUGCAGACCCCCACAUAAACUUGUCCUCCUCUAAUUGUUCUUGUUAGGUCUUUUGGUUACAGCAGGGAAAAGCUGACUAAAACCCCUACUUCCUACCACCUACCUUCUAGAGGCUUACUUACCUCAGAGUCAGUCAUCCAUAAACUGGGCCCACUGUGCUGACCCCACAUGCUUUCUUUUAAAAAGCAAUUUACCUGCACCCCUGCCUGGCCUAAGUCAAUAGACUAUGUUGCAUAAAAACUUUUAGGAGAAAUUCAGGAGAAAGGCUCAUCCCUGCCAAAAUGAAGAAUUCAAGUUACACUGAAGUAGGGGCUUCUAUGAUCCUUACACAGGAUCAGAUUCCAGAACUCAAGGAGAUUUGAUAGCUAGAACCAGUUAGCAUGGGCCAAAGUAACUCACAGUUGCCUUGGAUCUUUAGCAUGUCAACUCUCCCCUCCAUGGGGUAACACCAUGCACAGAAGGACCUGAGAGUCUGAUGCAAUCCUGCUGUCAGUCAAAAGUCAAGAGGUAGUCCUGGUGGGACUCUAUAGAAACUUCCCUGAUGUUAGGGGAUAGACACAUGAGAAUGGUGGGAACACAAAGUUAAGAGAACAAUGACAUAAAAUAGACCCACAGUGCUGACCCCCUCAGGCUUUCUUUGCCAAAAAGCGAUUUGCCUGCAGACCUGCCUGGCCUAAAUGGACAGGAUAUAUCACAUUCCUCAACAAACUACCUGUUUUCUGCCAGGAAAUGCAGGCAGGAAAUAACAUUUACAAGAGGAACCCAAGUUACUUUGAAAGGAGAGAUAUUUGUGACCCUUUUCACAGACCGGAUUCCAGAAGAUAAGGAUAAGUCCUCCCCACCAUAAAACUUGUAAAAAUAGUUAAGAAUCCAAUUAGACCCAGUCAGCAUGGGCCAAGGUGACAUAGAGUUGUCAUUGGCAACAGGGACUUGAAAGUGUGAUGUUACCCUGCUGUCAGUCAGAAGUCAUGAGGUUGACCUGGGCAGGACUCUCUGGGAUCCCCAAUAAAACUGGAUUGCAGGAGAGACACAUUGUCUCCCUAUUCUCUAAGAGGACUCACUCUCUCCCUUGAGAGUGUCCCCUUUCCCUUUUCCUUUCCUUUCAAUAAACUCAUUCGUGUUACUCUGA